RNAcentral lists this ribosomal RNA (373 nucleotides) under uncultured organism. Its description in RNAcentral is "partial 16S ribosomal RNA". It matches the Rfam family "Bacterial small subunit ribosomal RNA", at positions 527 to 896 of the family's 1533-position model. The record is from RNAcentral.
GUAGGUGGCAAGCGUUGUCCGGAAUUAUUGGGCGUAAAGCGGGCGCAGGGCGGUCCUUUAAGUCUGAUGUGAAAGCCCACGGCUCAACCGUGGAGGGUCAUUGGAAACUGGGGGACUUGAGUACAGAAGAGGAAAGCGGAAUUCCAAGUGUAGCGGUGAAAUGCGUAGAGAUUUGGGGGAACACCAGUGGCGAAGGCGGCUUUCUGGUCUGUAACUGACGCUGAGGCGCGAAAGCGUGGGGAGCAAACAGGAUUAGAUACCCUGGUAGUCCACGCCGUAAACGAUGAGUGCUAAGUGUUAGGGGGUUUCCGCCCCUUAGUGCUGCAGCUAACGCAUUAAGCACUCCGCCUGGGGAGUACGGCCGCAAAGGCUG